RNAcentral lists this ribosomal RNA (987 nucleotides) under Bacillus amyloliquefaciens. Its description in RNAcentral is "bacterial SSU rRNA". It matches the Rfam family "Bacterial small subunit ribosomal RNA", at positions 53 to 1025 of the family's 1533-position model. Lineage: Bacteria; Bacillati; Bacillota; Bacilli; Caryophanales; Bacillaceae. The record is from RNAcentral.
GCAUGCAAGUCGAGCGGACAGAUGGGAGCUUGCUCCCUGAUGUUAGCGGCGGACGGGUGAGUAACACGUGGGUAACCUGCCUGUAAGACUGGGAUAACUCCGGGAAACCGGGGCUAAUACCGGAUGGUUGUCUGAACCGCAUGGUUCAGACAUAAAAGGUGGCUUCGGCUACCACUUACAGAUGGACCCGCGGCGCAUUAGCUAGUUGGUGAGGUAACGGCUCACCAAGGCGACGAUGCGUAGCCGACCUGAGAGGGUGAUCGGCCACACUGGGACUGAGACACGGCCCAGACUAAUACGGGAGGCAGCAGUAGGGAAUCUUCCGCAAUGGACGAAAGUCUGACGGAGCAACGCCGCGUGAGUGAUGAAGGUUUUCGGAUCGUAAAGCUCUGUUGUUAGGGAAGAACAAGUGCCGUUCAAAUAGGGCGGCACCUUGACGGUACCUAACCAGAAAGCCACGGCUAACUACGUGCCAGCAGCCGCGGUAAUACGUAGGUGGCAAGCGUUGUCCGGAAUUAUUGGGCGUAAAGGGCUCGCAGGCGGUUUCUUAAGUCUGAUGUGAAAGCCCCCGGCUCAACCGGGGAGGGUCAUUGGAAACUGGGGAACUUGAGUGCAGAAGAGGAGAGUGGAAUUCCACGUGUAGCGGUGAAAUGCGUAGAGAUGUGGAGGAACACCAGUGGCGAAGGCGACUCUCUGGUCUGUAACUGACGCUGAGGAGCGAAAGCGUGGGGAGCGAACAGGAUUAGAUACCCUGGUAGUCCACGCCGUAAACGAUGAGUGCUAAGUGUUAGGGGGUUUCCGCCCCUUAGUGCUGCAGCUAACGCAUUAAGCACUCCGCCUGGGGAGUACGGUCGCAAGACUGAAACUCAAAGGAAUUGACGGGGGCCCGCACAAGCGGUGGAGCAUGUGGUUUAUUCGAAGCACCGCAAGAACCUUACCAGGUCUUGACAUCCUCUGACAUCCUAGAGAUAGGACGUCCCUUCGGGG